GGGUUCCACCGCAAGGUUCGUCCACGGAGGGUGAGUUAGGGUCUAAGAUCAGGCCAAAAGGCGUAGUCGAUGGACAACAGGUAAAUAUUCCUGUACUACCCCUUAUUGUCUGAAGGGACGGAGGAGGCAAGGUUAGCCGAAAGAUGGUUAUCGGUUAAAGGACACAAGGUGACCUUGUUUUUCAGGGUAAAAAAGGGUAAAGAAAAUGCCUCGAGGCAAUAUUUGAGUACCAGGCAUUACGGCGCUGAAGUAACCCAUUCCAUACUCCUAGGGAAAGCUCGAACAACCUUCAUC
This is a non-coding RNA of Beta vulgaris subsp. vulgaris (sugar beet), 294 nucleotides long. NCBI's taxonomy places the organism in Eukaryota, Viridiplantae, Streptophyta, Magnoliopsida, Caryophyllales, Amaranthaceae. The record is from Rfam.